CCUACGGGGUGCAGCAGUGGGGAAUAUUGGGCAAUGGGCGCAAGCCUGACCCAGCAACGCCGCGUGAAGGAAGAAGGCUUUCGGGUUGUAAACUUCUUUUAAGGGGGAAGAGCAGAAGACGGUACCCCUUGACUACUCCACGGCUAACUACGUGCCAGCAGCCGCGGUAAUACGUAGGUGGCAAGCGUUGUCCGGAUUUACUGGGUGUAAAGGGCGUGCAGCCGGAGGGACAAGUCAGAUGUGAAAUCCACGGGCUCAACCCGUGAACUGCAUUUGAAACUGGUUCCCUUGAGUGUCGGAGAGGUAAGCGGAAUUCCUGGUGUAGCGGUGAAAUGCGUAGAUAUAAGGAAGAACACCAGUGGCGAAGGCGGAUUACUGGACGAAAACUGACGGUGAGGCGCGAAAGCGUGGGGAGCAAACAGGAUUAGAUACCCGAGUAGUC
RNAcentral lists this ribosomal RNA (442 nucleotides) under uncultured bacterium. RNAcentral describes it as "partial 16S ribosomal RNA". It matches the Rfam family "Bacterial small subunit ribosomal RNA", at positions 338 to 795 of the family's 1533-position model. The record is from RNAcentral.